RNAcentral lists this ribosomal RNA (470 nucleotides) under uncultured bacterium. RNAcentral describes it as "bacterial SSU rRNA". It matches the Rfam family "Bacterial small subunit ribosomal RNA", at positions 335 to 796 of the family's 1533-position model. The record is from RNAcentral.
ACUCCUACGGGAGGCAGCAGUGGGGAAUAUUGCACAAUGGGGGAAACCCUGAUGCAGCCAUGCCGCUUGUGUGAAGAAGGCCUUCGGGUUGUAAAGCACUUUCAGCGAGGAGGAAAGGGUGUGUGUUAAUACCAUACAUCUGUGACGUUACUCGCAGAAGAAGCACCGGCUAACUCCGUGCCAGCAGCCGCGGUAAUACGGAGGGUGCGAGCGUUAAUCGGAAUUACUGGGCGUAAAGCGCAUGCAGGCGGCCUGUUAAGUCAGAUGUGAAAGCCCGGGGCUUAACCUCGGAAUUGCAUUUGAAACUGGCAGGCUAGAGUCUUGUAGAGGGGGGUAGAAUUUCAGGGUGUAGCGGUGAAAUGCGUAGAGAUCUGAAGGAAUACCAGUGGCGAAGGNGGCCCCCUGGACAAAGACUGACGCUCAGAUGCGAAAGCGUGGGGAGCAAACAGGAUUAGAUACCCUGGUAGCUA